AUUUAUAUGUUGAGGAUUUGUUAGAAAAAGUUUCAAUUUUUGUCUUAUUAAACUAUCCAACGUUAAUUAAUUUUGCAGGAUCUCAGAGAAUGAAGGAUCCCAAUUUUUCACAAAAGAGGUGCUCAGAAAAACCAAGACAGACCAGUGACUAAGAUGUGUAACUGUGUGUUAGAAAAUCAAGAGGAGUUUAAACAGUUAAGAAAGGAAAUUAAAGAAAUGAAGGCUCAUCAAAUUCAGCUCUCUGAAAAAGAGAAAGAUAAUUCAACAUCUGUUCUUUUAGAAUUACCAAGAGGUAUUGAGUUCCAGCUUUCUUCGGAUGAUGAUCUUAAUCAAUUAGAGGAAAAGUUGAAAGAAGAUAAGAAUUUACAGUUUGCUUAUUCAGUAUUUUGACUCCAUAUGCCGGCAUUGUGACUGAGGCGAAAAGAAAAGUCCUCAUUUGAAAGAGUGCCUGCCAUCACUAAUGUUAUUUGGCUACAGUUCUCAAACGUUUUGAGGCCCAAGAGCUUGCGGAAAAAUUUGGGAAAGUCUGCUACAGCCACUGAUUGGAACGGACGAAAAUCUAAGAUAAUUGACGUGACCAAUUUUUUGGAUUUGGAGACCCAAGAAUGGGCCAAUUUGUUUUACUAAAUUUUUAAUGUUUAUUCAAAUAAAAUAUUCAUAGCUAC
This is a long non-coding RNA of Parasteatoda tepidariorum (common house spider), 665 nucleotides long. The record is from RefSeq and is a predicted model, not a curated record. NCBI's taxonomy places the organism in Eukaryota, Metazoa, Arthropoda, Arachnida, Araneae, Theridiidae.